Molecule: ribosomal RNA, 449 nt
Filed under: uncultured bacterium
Lineage: Bacteria
Description: partial 16S ribosomal RNA
Rfam family: Bacterial small subunit ribosomal RNA
Source: RNAcentral
AACGAACGCUGGCGGCAUGCCUAACACAUGCAAGUCGAACGAGACCUUCGGGUCCAGUGGCGCACGGGUGCGUAACGCGUGGGAAUCUGCCCUUGGGUCCGGAACGACAGUUAGAAAUGACUGCUAAUACCGGAUGAUGACUUCGGUCCAAAGAUUUAUCGCCCAGGGAUGAGCCCGCGUCGGAUUAGCUAGUUGGUGAGGUAAAGGCUCACCAAGGCGACGAUCCGUAGCUGGUCUGAGAGGAUGAUCAGCCACACUGGGACGGAGACACGGCCCAGACUCCUACGGGAGACAGCAGUGGUGAAUAUUGGACAAUGGGCGAAAGCCUGAUCCAGCAGUGCCGCGUGAGUGAUGAAGGCCUUAGGGUUGUAAAGCUCUUUUACCCGGGAUGAUAAUGACAGUACCGGGAGAAUAAGCCCCGGCUAACUCCGUGCCAGCCGCCGCCGUAA